Long non-coding RNA from Homo sapiens (human), 1998 nucleotides. Ensembl annotates it as long intergenic non-protein coding RNA 2889. NCBI's taxonomy places the organism in Eukaryota, Metazoa, Chordata, Mammalia, Primates, Hominidae. The record is from Ensembl.
AUAGAAAUACAGAAUGCAUAGAAAAUACAAGGGUAAGAAGAGGAAUCAUGUGGAAGAAGAGUAAACAUCUGAUGGUGUCCUGGGUAGCUGAAACUGUGGAAAGCAAAACCGUGGAUAAGGGGGAACUACUAUACUGAAAAUGUACAAAACAGAGAAGAUUUCAUUGAAGAAGUCUGCUGUUUCUGGAAUGGGAAAUUAAGCACAACUGGAACAGUUAUCGACUGUGAUUCUUGCUGGGACCAAUAACCUUCUACAAAUACCAACAUCAGUUUUUAUGAAAGGCAAAGAGCUGACAGGUUUACAGACUGCACCCUAACAUUAAGCUACCAGGAGAAACUUCCAAGUUACCCUCUUGUUACUUGUGCCCCAGAGGUGAACACUAUAAACUGCUACAGCAUGCAAUUUAGGGAGAGGUUCGUGAAGAAGUGAUUGGGAAAGAGAGCAAGUCUUGGUUGGACAGUGUGAUUCAAUAGAAAUGUGAGGAGGAAAACUGCAAUUAUUUCUGAACCUUCCCAUCAGCCUUGUCUCUGAUAGAAUUGGCCUGUUGUGGACGGGCUUUGUGUAGAUUAGAGAAAGAAGAAGAUGCUCUUUUGGUGUAAUUGUUCAGUUCCACAUGGCCGGGGAGGCCUCACGAUCAUGGCAGAAGGCAAGGAGGAGCAAGUCACAUCUUAUGUGGAUGGCAGCAGGCAAAGAGAGAGCGAGCUUGUGCAAGGAGACUCCCAUUUUUAAAACCAUCAGAUCUCGUGAGACUUAUUCACUAUCAGGAGAACAGCAAGCUAAAUCAGUGUGAGACCAAGGACCCUGGGGCUCCUCCAGUCAUUGCAGCUGUAUCACAACUACCCUGACAGAUUUCUUGCUCAGGGCAAGCCACCUGCCAUGUCUUGAGAACACUCAAGCAGCACAUGGCGAGGAAUGGAGAUGGACAGACAUGGGCCAGCAAGAAACAGGCUUGCCAACAACAGCUUGCGUGAUCCUGAAAGUGGGUCCUCUAGCCCCAUGUGACUGUUGCCCUGGCCAACAACUUAACUGCAACCUCAAGAGAUACCUACCCUGAGUCAGAACCACCCAGUCAAACUACCCCUGGCAUCUUAACUCAGAGCCCCGUUGACUGGAGGAUGGCCAUUUGACAACACAUUAUUUCCUGAGGAAACUUUUGACUUCUGGUGACUUGGGCCCCAGGCUGGCUGAAUUUGCCAAGACCCGGCUUUGCCCUUGCAUGUGUGAAAAAUGGCCUCAAGUAUGACCCCAUGGCAAGAUGGAAAGAAACUGUGCUCUUGAAUAGCUUAGAGAUUCAGAGCCCCCCAACCAGCUUGAAACGCCCACCUCAAAACAAUGACAUGAGAAGAAACAAACCUCUAAUUUAAGCCACUGUCUUUUUAAGAGCAUUGUAGUUUGAGAUCUCUUUCUUUCAGCUGUUUAGUCCCCAGCUAAACACUUACUGACCUUAUCUUACAGGUCAAGAAAAAUGAAGUUCUGGGGUACAAGUCACUAAUGUAUUAGAAAUUUUCCAGCUCUCCCUCCUUGCCCAGCAGAGUAUAUUUCCACUCAAACACAAUGAACCCAUUUGGAAUGGGACAAAACAAAAUGGGGUGGGCCUGGAACAAGAGAAAGUUCAGCUACACAGGAUCCAGGUCAAAACUCUUUAAUCCUCCCAUUUCUGGAUUUCAAAUGAACACCUUUUUGUCUAGCAGUUCUCCUCCAGAGGUUUGCUUUCCCACAACAGCUUGUCAACAGUGUAAGAAGUUCAAAAAGAACUUUUGGGGUUGCACGUUGCAGGUUGUGUGGCAUCAUCCCAGCUUGUCUCAACACCUCUGAUGAACAGUAGCGGAAGAAAGGACUCUUUCCACAUGAGUUCCUCGGCGGUCCCCGUCUCUUAGGGAGUUUAUAAAAAAAUCCAUCAUCUUGUUCUACUAAACCCAAGUAAAUAUAAUUAACACCAAAUGUGUGUUCUGCUCAUCAAAUUGUACAGCCAUAAAGAGAUAAUCUUUGUAAAAUAAA